AAUCAACGCUGGCGGCGUGCCUAACACAUGCAAGUCGAACGCGAAAGCCCCUUCGGGGGUAAGUAGAGUGGCGUCCGGGUGAGUAACACGUGGGUAAUCUGCCUUCGGGUGGGGAAUAACCCAGGGAAACUUGGGCUAAUACCGCAUAAUGCAGCGGCACCUAAAUGGUGAUUAGUUGUUAAAGCGGGGGAUCGCAAGACCUCGCGCCUGAAGAGGAGCCUGCGGCAGAUUAGCUAGNGGUGAGGUAAUGGCUCACCAAGGCUUCGAUCUGUAGCUGGUCUGAGAGGACGGCCAGCCACACUGGCACUGACACACGGGCCAGACUCCUACGGGAGGCAGCAGUGGGAAUUUUGGGCAAUGGGCGAAAGCCUGACCCAGCAACGCCGCGUGAGGAGGAAAUCCUCGGAUGUAAACCUCACAAGCAAGGGAAGAGAGCUGCGGGCUGAAUAAUCCCGUAGUGCGACGGUACCUUGCGUAA
Molecule: ribosomal RNA, 478 nt
Filed under: uncultured bacterium
Lineage: Bacteria
Description: bacterial SSU rRNA
Rfam family: Bacterial small subunit ribosomal RNA
Source: RNAcentral